Molecule: transfer RNA, 77 nt
Filed under: Neolewinella antarctica
Lineage: Bacteria; Pseudomonadati; Bacteroidota; Saprospiria; Saprospirales; Lewinellaceae
Also listed under: 3 other names
Description: Lewinella antarctica tRNA-Pro
Rfam family: tRNA
About the family: Transfer RNA (tRNA) molecules are approximately 80 nucleotides in length.
Source: RNAcentral
CGGGAUGUGGCGCAGCCCGGUAGCGCACACGCCUGGGGGGCGUGGGGCCGCAAGUUCGAAUCUUGUCAUCCCGACCA